AUAAUAUACCUUAGUUGGCAACAUGUUAUAUUGUUGCAGAUAGUAACCAAUGUCAGACAUAAUUAACCAUGUAGGCUAUAAAGCCUUGGUUAAAAUGUGACCAAUAGACGGCUCUGAUCUUUCUCUCCAUCAUAACUGUCAGUGGGGUGAAUAACAGUGGUUCCCUAGAAAAGGGGAGAAUUGGAGCUUUACAAAAAUGACAAAGUAUUACUGUACUCCUAAUAGUCAACAAAUACUAUUUUGUUUUCCCCUAUAUGUGUAUGUACAGUAUGUAUGUGUGAUGGGAUGUAUAGACUUUAUGGACAGUAUGUGGAUAGAAUAUGUAGUAUAUGGAUAGACUACAUGGAUAGUAUAUGUAGAAUACAUGGAUAGAAUAUGUAGUAUAUGUGUAGAAUACAUGGGUAGAAUAUGUAGUAUAUCUGUAGAAUACAUGGAUAGUAUAUGUAGUACAUCUGUAGAAUACAUGGAUAGUAUAUGUACAGCAAUAGUUGAAUAGGAUGGACUUGACUAGAAUAUAUUAUAUACAUAUGAAAUGAGUAAAGCAGUAUGUAAACAUUAUUAAAGGGACCAGUGAUUCAUUGUCUAUGUAUAUAGGGCAGCAGCCUCUAAGGUACAGGGUUGAGUAACUGGGUGGUAGCUGGCUAGUGACAGUGAGUAAGUUCAGGGCAGGGUACUGGGUGGGGGCUGGCUAGUGACAGUAACUGAAGUUCAGGGCAGGGUACUGGGUGGAGGCUGGCUAGUGACAGUAACUGAAGUUCAGGGCAGGGUACUGGGUGGAGGCUGGCUAGUGAUGGCUAUUUAACAGUCUGAUGGUCUUGAGAUAGAAGCUGUUUUUCAGUCUCUCGGUCCCAGCUUUGAUGCACCUGUACUGACCUCCUCCUGGAUGAUAGUGGGGUGAACAGGCAGUAGCUCAGGUGGCUGAUGUCCUUGAUGAUCUUCUUGACCUUCCUUUAAUACCGAGUGCUGUAGGUGUCCUGAAGGGCAGGCAGUGUGCUCCCGGUGAUUCUGGAGAGCCCUGCGGUUGCGGACGGUGCAGUUGCCUUUCCAGACGGUGAUACGUCCUGUCUAAAUCUGUCAUUCUCAUUGAAAGCAAGUCUAAGAAGUGGUAGAUCUGUUCUAUUUGUACUAUUUCUAUGCUUCCCGUUUUUAAGUUUUGUCAUUGCGUCUUACAUUCAGUUUUGUACACCAGCUUCUAACAGCUGAAAAAUCCAAUAUUUUUGGUUAUGGACUAGAUAUGUCACAGCGGUUUAGAUGGUACAAUGAUUAUCUACAAUAGUUUUUCUAAUUUCAGUUUGAAAUCUAUUAGAAUUUGAACAACCAGGAAAUGUCAGAGUGCAUCUUUUUUUAACUCGGCUACUUUUAAUUUCCAAGUUUAAAUGGGCUUGUCCGUCAAGCCUUCUCCCGCUAGAAUGAAUGAUUAGUCAUUUUCUAGCCAUCUAUUGAUAGGAAAGGCGCCUGUCAGUCAGUUCUGGCACGUUCAUUUAUUUUCUUUAGCCUCUUUCACAUUGCCUGCCAGGCUAUUUAUUUACUGUGCGUUGAUUGACAACUGAACACCAAGUGUUGACUAGUUUAUAAAAGGUGUCGAACUGAUUGAAAAAUAUAAUGGACCUAUAUAUUUUUAAAAUGUGUGUGUAAUUUUAUUUUUUAUAUACUUGAGAGCUAACAAUCACCAAAAUCAAAGCUAGACAAAACACAGCAGUGUUUAUUGAAAACUAUUGAAAACUGCAACAUCUUCUCUCAACUCCAUGUCAAAAUGUGUAUAAUUGCAGGAAAUUAACUUUAAAACUUAAAUGUAUCUCAGCUCCAUGGAGAAAUUCUGAAAAUGACAGAAAAUUGGCUUAAAAUACGG
RNAcentral lists this long non-coding RNA (1849 nucleotides) under Salmo salar (Atlantic salmon). RNAcentral describes it as "lncRNA (ENSSSAG00000113338.1)". The record is from RNAcentral. Lineage: Eukaryota; Metazoa; Chordata; Actinopteri; Salmoniformes; Salmonidae.